This 71-nucleotide microRNA precursor is filed under the name Bombyx mori (domestic silkworm). RNAcentral's name for it is "mir-2774 microRNA precursor family". It matches the Rfam family "mir-2774 microRNA precursor family". Lineage: Eukaryota; Metazoa; Arthropoda; Insecta; Lepidoptera; Bombycidae. The record is from Rfam by way of RNAcentral.
ACAGCAUUCGGGCCGUCGGUUUACCGAGGAAUACCAAUCACCCGGUCGGUGGAAGAUCUUCCCUUUGUCUU